GAGAGCCGGAUACGCUGAGAGGUGUAAGUCCGGUUCGGAGGGGAGUUCUCGGAAACCUGCCAUAGUGAUAUGGUAAGGCGCCGGGUUCUUACCCUAC
Molecule: non-coding RNA, 97 nt
Organism: Faecalibacterium prausnitzii
Lineage: Bacteria; Bacillati; Bacillota; Clostridia; Eubacteriales; Oscillospiraceae
Source: Rfam